CAGCAGUGUCACAUCACUGACUCACGGCAUCUGUAGGAGCUGGGACACGGAAGGCAUGCCAGAUUUACAGGUCUCGCAGGACAGAAUGGACUCCAGAACA
Molecule: long non-coding RNA, 100 nt
Organism: Nanorana parkeri
Lineage: Eukaryota; Metazoa; Chordata; Amphibia; Anura; Dicroglossidae
Exons: 3
Source: RefSeq, a predicted model, not a curated record